This 404-nucleotide unclassified non-coding RNA is filed under the name soil metagenome. RNAcentral's name for it is "partial contains 5.8S ribosomal RNA, internal transcribed spacer 2, and large subunit ribosomal RNA". The stretch from base 1 to 121 matches the Rfam family "5.8S ribosomal RNA", at positions 35 to 154 of the family's 154-position model. The record is from RNAcentral.
GAUGAAGAACGCAGCGAAAUGCGAUAAGUAAUGUGAAUUGCAGAAUUCAGUGAAUCAUCGAAUCUUUGAACGCACCUUGCGCCCUUUGGACAUUCCGAAGGGCAUGCCUGUUUGAGUAUCAUGAACACCUCAACUCUCACGGCUUGUCCGUGAUGAGCUUGGACUUUGGGGGUCUUGCCGGCCUGUGGUCGGCUCCUCUCAAAUGGAUCAGCUUGCCAGUGUUUGGUGGCAUCACAGGUGUGAUAACUAUCUGCGCUUGUGGUUUUCCAACAGAUAACCUUCAGUGAUAUGGAGGUUCGCUGGAGCUCACAAAUGUCUCUCCUUAGUGAGGACAGCUCUUUGAACGUUUGAUCUCAAAUCAGGUAGGACUACCCGCUGAACUUAAGCAUAUCAAUAGCGGAGGA